This 395-nucleotide ribosomal RNA is filed under the name uncultured bacterium. RNAcentral's name for it is "bacterial SSU rRNA". It matches the Rfam family "Bacterial small subunit ribosomal RNA", at positions 505 to 898 of the family's 1533-position model. The record is from RNAcentral.
GUGUCAGCAGCCGCGGUAAUACGUAGGGGGCGAGCGUUGUCCGGAAUCAUUGGGCGUAAAGCGCGUGUAGGCGGCUUGGCAAGUCCGGUGUGAAAGCUCGAGGCUCAACCUCGAGUCUGCAUCGGAAACUGCUUUGCUAGAGUCCGGAAGAGGAGACUGGAAUUCCUGGUGUAGCGGUGAAAUGCGCAGAUAUCAGGAAGAACACCGGUGGCGAAGGCGGGUCUCUGGGACGGUACUGACGCUGAGACGCGAAAGCGUGGGGAGCAAACAGGAUUAGAUACCCUGGUAGUCCACGCCGUAAACGAUGGGCACUAGGUGUGGGAGGUGUCGACUCCUUCCGUGCCGAAGCUAACGCAUUAAGUGCCCCGCCUGGGGAGUACGGCCGCAAGGCUAAA